GAGUAGCACCGGGCCCGUGAAAUCCGGUGUGAAUCUGUCGGGACCACCCGAUAAGCCUAAAUACUUCUUGAUGACCGAUAGCGGACCAGUACCGUGAGGGAAAGGUGAAAAGUACCCCGGGAGGGGAGUGAAAUAGUACCUGAAACCGUGUGCUUACAAUCCGUCAGAGGCUUUCGGGCUGAUGGCGUGCCUUUUGAAGAAUGAGCCUGCGAGUUAGUGGUAUGUCGCGAGGUUAACCCGUGUGGGGAAGCCGGAGCGAAAGCGAGUCCGAAUAGGGCGUUUAGUGGCAUGCUCUAGACCCGAAGCGGGGUGAUCUACCCAUGGCCAGUGUGAAGCGACGGUAAGACGUCGUGGAGGCGCGAACCCACUUAGGUUGAAAACUGAGGGGAUGAGCUGUGGGUAGGGGUGAAAGGCCAAUCAAACUCCGUGAUAGCUGGUUC
RNAcentral lists this ribosomal RNA (440 nucleotides) under Burkholderia cenocepacia. RNAcentral's name for it is "partial 23S ribosomal RNA". It matches the Rfam family "Bacterial large subunit ribosomal RNA", at positions 410 to 855 of the family's 2925-position model. Lineage: Bacteria; Pseudomonadati; Pseudomonadota; Betaproteobacteria; Burkholderiales; Burkholderiaceae. The record is from RNAcentral.